This 253-nucleotide ribosomal RNA is filed under the name uncultured bacterium. Its description in RNAcentral is "partial 16S ribosomal RNA". It matches the Rfam family "Bacterial small subunit ribosomal RNA", at positions 524 to 776 of the family's 1533-position model. The record is from RNAcentral. RNAcentral also lists the same sequence under 2 other names.
UACGUAGGGUGCGAGCGUUGUCCGGAAUUAUUGGGCGUAAAGAGCUCGUAGGCGGUCUGUCGCGUCGAAUGUGAAAACCCGGGGCUCAACUCCGGGCUUGCAUUCGAUACGGGCAGGCUAGAGUUCGGUAGGGGAGUCUGGAAUUCCUGGUGUAGCGGUGAAAUGCGCAGAUAUCAGGAGGAACACCGGUGGCGAAGGCGGGACUCUGGGCCGAUACUGACGCUGAGGAGCGAAAGCGUGGGGAGCGAACAGG